GACGAACGCUGGCGGCGUGCCUAAUACAUGCAAGUUGAGCGCUGAAGGUUGGUACUUGUACCGACUGGAUGAGCAGCGAACGGGUGAGUAACGCGUGGGGAAUCUGCCUUUGAGCGGGGGACAACAUUUGGAAACGAAUGCUAAUACCGCAUAAAAACUUUAAACACAAGUUUUAAGUUUGAAAGAUGCAGUUGCAUCACUCAAAGAUGAUCCCGCGUUGUAUUAGCUAGUUGGUGAGGUAAAGGCUCACCAAGGCGAUGAUACAUAGCCGACCUGAGAGGGUGGUCGGCCACAUUGGGACUGAGACACGGCCCAAACUCCUACGGGAGGCAGCAGUAGGGAAUCUUCGGCAAUGGACGAAAGUCUGACCGAGCAACGCCGCGUGAGUGAAGAAGGUUUUCGGAUCGUAAAACUCUGUUGGUAGAGAAGAACGUUGGUGAGAGUGGAAAGCUCAUCAAGUGACGGUAACUACCCAGAAAGGGACGGCUAACUACGUG
RNAcentral lists this ribosomal RNA (497 nucleotides) under uncultured bacterium. RNAcentral describes it as "partial 16S ribosomal RNA". It matches the Rfam family "Bacterial small subunit ribosomal RNA", at positions 28 to 507 of the family's 1533-position model. The record is from RNAcentral.